Mustela putorius furo (domestic ferret) is the source of this 322-nucleotide non-coding RNA. NCBI's taxonomy places the organism in Eukaryota, Metazoa, Chordata, Mammalia, Carnivora, Mustelidae. The record is from Rfam.
GGAUGUGAGGGUGAUCUGGCUGUGGUAUCUGUCACUUCAUUAAUCACCAGUGUUGACUUGGCUGGUCUUGCUGGCUGGGUAGGUGUCCCCUUUCUCCCUCACUUCUCCUCCUGAAGCUGAGUGCUUGGCCCAAGAGAACAACCUUCCUCCAUACAGGAGGACCAUUUUCCUCAGUCAAGGUAUGGGAGCACCUGCACUUGCCUGGUAGACUCUCCAAACAAUCUCUCCAGGUCCAUUUGUAGGAAAACAGUAGAAAAGUCAGGUUUCCAAGAUUCCAGGCACAUCCAAAUGAGGCACUGCAUGUGGCAGUCUGUCUUUCCAA